This 1082-nucleotide long non-coding RNA is filed under the name Helianthus annuus (common sunflower). The record is from RNAcentral. Lineage: Eukaryota; Viridiplantae; Streptophyta; Magnoliopsida; Asterales; Asteraceae.
ACCCUAAUUAGCCUCUCCCUCGUCACGCUCACAACCGUCUCCCUCCCUCCCCACCACCACUGAUUCGCAUCUCCAUCUCUCCCAAACCCUAAUCAAUCAUAUCCACUUCCCUCAAACAUAUAGAGAGAAGAGGCAGAGAUGGAGUUAGAGAGAGAAACAUAUACAGAGAAGAGGCAGGAUUAACAGGGGCUGUCGGGACCUUCAGUUCAUGGCGUUCUCCUAGGCGGCGAUGGUGCUGUUCUGUGCCUCAAACUGUCGUAUGCCUACCAUCACCCUACAUAUUGGGUCUUGAUAUAUGAUGAUGGUGAAAUUAAGCUUGUCUCAGAUCUUAGUCGAUUUGCACUCAUCUAUUUUUGGAUUUUGGAAGCACAUCUGAAAGGCACUUGAAUUUGUGCAGAGAGUGUUAUAAAAAGGUUGUUGAACUUGCUUAUCAACUGAGAAAAUAAGAAAUGCCUCUCAAAAACAAUCUCUUCUUUCUGGAAUUAUACUUUGCUGGGCUUCCGUUAUUCAAGGAACUAGCUUUAGUGAAAGAACGAAGGUGCAAUUUCUCUAUGACCAUAAGAAAUCCUACACACCUGAUAUUAUUUUUUUAGUGGCAUGGAUCUAGCAUCAAGGUUUAGGUAGCAGUUGGGUUUCUCCUGGUCAUUCUAUUGCAGCCGCAAUGUCUUAUCAAUUAUGAGCCUCAAGUGUCCAUGUUUAUUUUUGUCCUGUUUUCUUCAACACGUUUCUUUAACUGCUAAGAUCGUUAUUGUCUAUUUUUUGUAUUUUUUGCUUGUGUUGGUGCAGGUUGAACUUUUAUUCUUCUUCGUUAAAGAGCCUAGGGUUGGAUCAGGAUUCCAGUUUCAGGUUGUACUGAUUUAGUCAUGAAGACAAAUAGUAAUAACAAUGAAAUAACAAUCCAUAAAACAUCAUCACCAUUUUAGGCUCGCAUACUUGCUAGAUUUAUUUAAAGGAGACUUUGAGUUGGAAAUCAUUCUUUACCUUAGACUAACUUAGAUGUACACAUUCUGUUUAAUUUUAUUUUGGAUUUUAACAUUUAUUUUGUAUAUGAAGCUAUUUUGUUAAUCAAGUGAUGCUUAGGU